This 559-nucleotide ribosomal RNA is filed under the name uncultured bacterium. Its description in RNAcentral is "bacterial SSU rRNA". It matches the Rfam family "Bacterial small subunit ribosomal RNA", at positions 119 to 674 of the family's 1533-position model. The record is from RNAcentral.
AGGAAUCUGCCUAUUAGUGGGGGACAACGUUUCGAAAGGAACGCUAAUACCGCAUACGUCCUACGGGAGAAAGCAGGGGACCUUCGGGCCUUGCGCUAAUAGAUGAGCCUAGGUCGGAUUAGCUUGUUGGUGAGGUAAUGGCUCACCAAGGCGACGAUCCGUAACUGGUCUGAGAGGAUGAUCAGUCACACUGGAACUGAGACACGGUCCAGACUCCUACGGGAGGCAGCAGUGGGGAAUAUUGGACAAUGGGCGAAAGCCUGAUCCAGCCAUGCCGCGUGUGUGAAGAAGGUCUUCGGAUUGUAAAGCACUUUAAGUUGGGAGGAAGGGUUGUAGAUUAAUACUCUGCAAUUUUGACGUUACCGACAGAAUAAGCACCGGCUAACUCUGUGCCAGCAGCCGCGGUAAUACAGAGGGUGCAAGCGUUAAUCGGAAUUACUGGGCGUAAAGCGCGCGUAGGUGGUUUGUUAAGUUGGAUGUGAAAGCCCCGGGCUCAACCUGGGAACUGCAUCCAAAACUGGCAAGCUAGAGUACGGUAGAGGGUGGUGGAAUUUCCUGU